CCAGACUCCUACGGGAGGCAGCAGUGGGGGAUAUUGCACAAUGGGGGGAACCCUGAUGCAGCGACGCCGCGUGGGUGAAGAAGUAUUUCGGUAUGUAAAGCCCUAUCGGCAGGGGAGAAAUUUGAAGGUACCUGACUAAGAAGCCCCGGCUAACUACGUGCCAGCCGCCGCGGGAAUACGUAGGGGGCAAGCGUUAUCCGGAUUCACUGGGGGUAAAGGGAGCGUAGACGGCCAUGCAAGCCAGGAGUGAAAGCCCGGGGCCCAACCCCGGGACUGCUCUUGGAACUGCGCGGCUGGAGUGCAGGAGGGGCAGGCGGAAUUCCUGGUGUAGCGGUGAAAUGCGUAGAUAUCAGGAGGAACACCGGUGGCGAAGGCGGCCUGCUGGACUGCGACUGACGUUGAGGCCCGAAAGCGUGGGGAGCAAACAGGAUUAGAUACCCUAGUAU
RNAcentral lists this ribosomal RNA (446 nucleotides) under uncultured bacterium. RNAcentral describes it as "bacterial SSU rRNA". It matches the Rfam family "Bacterial small subunit ribosomal RNA", at positions 331 to 793 of the family's 1533-position model. The record is from RNAcentral.